RNAcentral lists this unclassified non-coding RNA (202 nucleotides) under Hevea brasiliensis (rubber tree). Lineage: Eukaryota; Viridiplantae; Streptophyta; Magnoliopsida; Malpighiales; Euphorbiaceae. The record is from RNAcentral.
AAGAUGUUAUUAGAUGUUUUUUUAGGUUGGGAGAAUUGGAAUAUGAUUUAGGUUAUGAAUGUUGGUCGUUUUUUUUUGAAGAUUACGAUUUGUUAUAAAGUUUAUUUUAUGAAGAAUUUAAGAGAUUUUCGUGUUUUUUAGAAUUUAUUAAAUAUUGGUUUUAUAUAAAAAAUUGUGUUUAGUGUUUUUUUAUAUAUUUGGU